Molecule: long non-coding RNA, 829 nt
Filed under: Amphibalanus amphitrite
Lineage: Eukaryota; Metazoa; Arthropoda; Thecostraca; Balanomorpha; Balanidae
Description: uncharacterized LOC122385409
Source: RNAcentral
UUGAAAUGGGCCUGAAAAUCAGGGCGUGAGUCCUGGCGGACUUCUAUGCAUUCCAUAUAAGGGAAUGGCGACGCCCAAUGGGAGCUAGCCCUUCCUAGAGACGGUGGGUGCCUCCCCUCAGCGAGAGAUGCAAACCUCAAUCGUCAGCCCUCUUCUCUUGAUAACGAACCCUCGUCAUAUUAGUUAUCGAUCACUACCACCCCAACACACUACACAUAUCGAUCGUUACGAUCCCUAUCCCGUCGCGUACAUCCUUUGCUAGGUAACGUACUGUUCUUAGCUAUUGUAAUCUCGACGCUCUGGGUGUGGCUCCUAUGGCUUGCAUCUCUGGCCAUUAUGCUCCGCGAAUCAACGCGCGGCGCCUGAGGCGGUAUUUAAAGGCUCCGGCACGCCUGCGGCAUAUUGUCAUCAUGUCUACCACGUCUGUGGAGGUUGUCACGGAGGCAAGUCGGCCCGAGAGCCCGCCGGGGUCCGCGGCCGAGGUGCCCCGCGAAUUGUACAACGAGAUCGUCCGAUUAAAGGACGACCUCCACGCGGCUGAGGGAAAUUUGGAGGUCGCCCGCCGCGACAUGGAGCGGGCCCGCCGGAGAAAUAAAGAAAUUAUUCACCGGCUUCGGAAAAUAAUCUUCACCUUAAAUUCCCCAAACUACGCUCGGCCAGAAUGGCUCGAUGGGGAUAUCGAGUGGGCUCUUCUGGAGCUCUCUUGAGCCCAGCUCAGAUACACCGGCGAAGCUGAAGACUCCCGUGCCGAAGACUCCCGUGCCUUGCUUGUCAUGCUUGAAUUUGUCAUGGUUGACUUGUAAUACAUAUUAACGAAUUUCCCCACCUG